Molecule: RNA transcript, 401 nt
Organism: Eucalyptus grandis
Lineage: Eukaryota; Viridiplantae; Streptophyta; Magnoliopsida; Myrtales; Myrtaceae
Exons: 2
Source: RefSeq, a predicted model, not a curated record
GAAAAGGGGAAAUGUCUGCAUGGGAGUUUUAAAUGGAACUCAUGAAGGGCUCAAAGAUAGGAAUUUGAUUGGAGACAUAUCGAUGCAGGACAAGAUGGUGAUCUACGACAACGCUAACCAUUUUCUGGGAUGGGCUUCUGAAGAUUGCAGUCAGCUUCCAAAGUCCAGAGCAUUUGCAGCCUAAUUGACAAGAAGCUCCUCAUCGUAUCUCUGUACUUCCAGACUAGAAUCAUGGAAAUGCUGGGCUUCAAAUCAAGCCUUCUCCUAAGAAGCUUAUCAUAGCCAAGUCACUUGUAAAAUAAGCCAUGACUAAUGUUUUUUCCUUUGUCUUACUGGACUGGAUGUUAUGUGUACAAUAAAAUUGCUUACGGGUACACCCGAAGCCAAUUCAAUUACAGCCA